UACAGCAAUACAUUCAAAGAAUGCAACCCACAAAAGGCAUACACCACUAGCUGCAUAGUAGUCAAAGAGUUGAAAAACAUACAUGCCACCCUGUAAAAGAGAGAGGCAGUGGAUUAGGAUCCAACAGGGAAUAAGAAUGAAUACUCCAGGCCCAGCUCCCAGGACCAUCAACCAACGUAUCUGAAUGACUGCUGUCUAACAAGAAGAAAUAUCUAGCAAGUAGGAACUUCAAGCAUCUGAAGUUUCACACAGGAAAUGAUACUGAAACCACUGAUGUGAGCAGAGCAAAACACAGCGUGUGAGCGUGUGGUGUCUGCAAAGGAUGUGCUGAAAGAAGAAGUGGCAAAGCUGAUGACCAAGCUCAGAGAGAGCACAACUCUGCAGAGCAGAAGCUACAAAGUGACCCACCACCCCCAGCCAGCCUUGGGCCAGAACAGCACGUGCUCCAUAUACUAUCCCAAAUAUGCUUGAGAUGAGGAAAUAACUUAAGUUCU
Melopsittacus undulatus (budgerigar) is the source of this 494-nucleotide long non-coding RNA. RefSeq lists it as uncharacterized. The record is from RefSeq and is a predicted model, not a curated record. The transcript is spliced from 3 exons. NCBI's taxonomy places the organism in Eukaryota, Metazoa, Chordata, Aves, Psittaciformes, Psittaculidae.